This is a long non-coding RNA of Heterocephalus glaber (naked mole-rat), 413 nucleotides long. Lineage: Eukaryota; Metazoa; Chordata; Mammalia; Rodentia; Bathyergidae. The record is from Ensembl.
CCAUUUCCCCUCUACUCUUCUGAUGGGAUAACUGAAGAAUGUGUUCAGCUCUAGCUCCUAGAGUUCCUCAGUAACUUAGUUCCAGUGGCUCAUAGAGCUGCGGAGUCCUUCCAGCUGGAAGAUGGGCAAAACCCAGGGGAAGAACACCACAAAAUGAAUACUUUCCCUUCCUUGCCCCCUGUGUGGUGGAGCUAGCUUUCAGGCCAACAUCAGAGGACCCCUGCUGAGCCUCAGUCUUAUCAUGAUAAAAACAGCAGGCAAAUUAUAAUAACGGAACAUCCUACAAAAUAUCAGCUCAGUUCUCCUCAGAACUGUGGUGAUCAUCAACCAAGUUUGAGAGACAGACAUCAGCAAGAGAAGCCUGAAGAGACAACUACUAAAAAGAAUGUGGAAUCCAAAAACAGAAAAAGGAC